Columba livia (rock pigeon) is the source of this 4993-nucleotide long non-coding RNA. RefSeq lists it as uncharacterized. Lineage: Eukaryota; Metazoa; Chordata; Aves; Columbiformes; Columbidae. The record is from RefSeq and is a predicted model, not a curated record. The transcript is spliced from 2 exons.
GGCUGAUGCGCCUGGCGGCCCGCCCUGCCCCGCGCUCGGCCUCAGCUUGUGUGUUAAUUGUCUCCGGCGCCCUCGGCUCGGCACCUCCUGCUGUUUGGGCCCCGGGCAUUCGCUUCCACGGGGGGCGUCUUUGUGCGGGUUUACGGUGCGAUUUCUGAAUGUGAAUUGUGAAUGCCAUUAAAGUAAGGAGGCAGUGCAAAAGAAACCCUUUAGAGAGACUUUUAUUAAGUUUUGCCGCACUUGUUUCAUUGGGGUUUGUUUUAGGACCGUGAGAGGUGCUGCCAAGAUUGACUUUCAACCAGAGGAUGGAAUGAGUUGUCACCUGUGUAAGUCCAGGAAAACAGCGCAUGUCACGGGCAGAGACCCAGCGGGGACACCCACCAGCCUUCUACAAAACCAGUUGUACUUGCACAGAUAUGUCUGCCUGGUGUGGCAGAGCUGAAGCUGCAGUUUGAAGGGAAGUAAUCUCUGUUUCUUCAUUGUGAAUCACCACAUACACUUUUCUUUCUUGCUUCCUCACCCCAUCCUUGGUAUUAUGAGGCAUUUUGGGGCAAGUUUAUGUUUUGCUGUAAAAGACAGAGUUUCAAAACAUAAAUUGUUCACAUUUUCUAGAGCACUAGAGUCAGGACUAUUGAAUCCCGUUCUCUAGCACCUGUUCUGAGACCUUGGACAAACCAGUGAUCUCCAUGCUUUAAAAUAUCUGCCGUACACAGGUGUUUUGGGAAAAAAUACCAUAAACUAUUUGAAGUAUUUCUGAUCCUCAGGAAAAUAUACAGCAGAACUACACAGCAUUAAUAAAUUAAUCUUGGUUUAUAAGAUAAAUGUUUGUAAAAAAUCUCAUUUUUUAAAAAAUCUUAGGUACUUUGGCAGUAGGUAAAUAUGAGAACCUAAAAAGAGGUAGUUUCUUCAUCAAAGUAAACCUACUGUAUUCAAAUCAUUACAAAAAUGAAAAUUUCUACAAGUUGUCAAGUUUACUGAAUCUUUAAAGUACAAUUUUGCUGCUACUUUCAAUAUCUGUGCAGAGGUCAAAAGCACUAUGAUAUUGCUGUGCAUUUCUUUACAAGUCUUCAUCCCUCCCCAUCCCUCCCAAGCUUUGGCUGAUUGUACACCCCCCCCCCCCAGGCCCUGAACUGUCUAUCUGAUAUAGCCUGGCUUUCUUAAAGUACAAUGUCCAUCUGUUUAGGCCAUGCUGACCUUUAUUGUUUGCAUGACUGCAUGACUUGUGUUCUGCUGUGUUUGCCUUCUGCAGUGUCCUUAUCCCACUUUUUGAGGCUAGCCACUACCAGGUGCUAUUACAUAUUUUUAUCUUCUAACCUGUCUUUAAAUAGUUUCACACCUAUCAUCUUCUGAAAAACUUGUCUCAUAUAUCCAGUCCUCCACUCUUUCUUCUGCUACCUCCACUCUUGAAUAUUGCUUUUUUUCAGAAUAACUUUCUUAGUAUGAUUGAUAAAUAGGCACUUAGUAGUUCGCAACAUGAGAUUUCUAUUGAUCCAUUAUUUCAUCAGUUUCCAACAGCAGUCAUGGCUAAGCAUAUCCUUGAUAAAAUCACCCACACUGUGACAAAAGCUCCUUCUUUGUUUUGCAAUAUGAGAUCUGUAUUUCAAUACUUCAUAUAUUGCAGCUGUUUUAUUUUCUUGGUAUUCUUGAGGCUAUGGGAGUUUUCCAGGGUAGCAAAUGACAGCGAUAUUAAUUCAAACGUAUCUCAAAUGUAAAAGCUAGAGGUGGAAAGGUAGCUUGGAAGAAAACAAGGCAAAGAGUACCACACCUGCCACCUGUGUUAAUAAUAGUGCGUGUAGUUUCUCUGAAGCAGCAAGAUCAAAUUGACAGUUGUGUUUUUAAUAUGGUCCAAGGUAUGGUUCAAACUUCUUACCAUCUAUAUAGGAACAUCCAUACAAAGCAAGCUAAUUAAACUGGGAAGUGCACUCUGGAAGACUGAAGCCUAUAGGGAAAAAAAAUGCCUAUUUACUAUUAAAGCCUUAAAACCCUAUAAUAAACAUCGGGAGACCUCAUAACAGCAAGUGUUAGGCUAUGGUCCCAUGUCUGAAGUGUUAAGCAGCAGUAUCUGCCUAAGCAGUUCUUCAAUUUCACAAUUAAUUAAAACAAAACAGUCUGCUUAAUAAAAAGCAGUAAUAAAAUUGCUAAACAGUUCAGAUUCUCAAGUCACGUCCUCAAUCAAUCUUGAUCUUAGCCAGUUGAGUUUUAAGGAGCGAGUGAAAAGUUGGGAAGAUGUGAAAUAGUUAUGGAGUGAAUAUUUUGUCCGACUAAUAGUUAACAUGAAUACUUUUUUUUUAAUGGAAUCUGGGUUAACAAAUAAGAUGAUGCUCUGAUUUGGUUUCUGUCAGAACAGGAAGAACCUGUAUUAUUUGCUGUUGGCACUUGGCAUACAACACCCAACUAUAUUCUGAGAACAACAUAUCAUCUAAUAAUUAAAUGAAAAAUUAUGUUGUUUGUUGUCGGUCCAAUGUAACAUAUGUUAACAUCAGGGAGAGCAACUUACAAAUGUUGUGAAAGGUGGCAAGUGAAUGAUAUUAAGUUAGAUAAAUUGAGGCAAGCUGCAAGACGCAAACUGUGCCACGUAUGUUAGUUAGGUUUGAAGGUAAUUUGUAUAGUGCUGGUCUCCAUUCUGUAGACUUGCACUUGCUUGGUUUUUAAGUCCAUAUAAAUUCAGCAAGAUUGUUCACUUGUUUAAUGUUAAGUAAAGUAUUACGAUAUCUGAAAACUUCGUAACUAGUGGAGCAAGAAGGACGGUUCCAAGGAUUGAUGUGGUCUCUCUUGUGAAAUCUAUGUUAUCUCUUAGGUAUAUCUCUUAGUUGUAGAAUUUGGCAUGGUUUGCAGGGGAAUUAAUGAUCUGCUCUAUUAAUGCAGUCAUCAGUGUUAAGUGAUAAGCUUUUAUCAUUCUACAGAAGUGCUAGACCAGAGUAUUAGCUUGUUGCUUGAUUUUUAACAGACGGAAAUUAUACAUCUGAAGUUGAGCUACAUUUAAUUAUGUGUCAGUUCAUGUAUGUGUAUAUAUCCAUAUAUGAAUAAUCAUACGAACUGUUCUCAAUGACAGCCUCAUCAAUACAGCUAAUAUCAACCAAAUGGAAUCAUAUUUUUAGUCACAUCAUAGAACUUGAAACUCCAGUGUGGGUGAAGUAAUGUGGAUAUAAUAUCAGCCACUCAAACCCCAUAAGCCUCCACCUCCAAGAAACAUGCUGAUUAUAACACAGGUUUGAUCUUUGGAGUGGGGCCUACAGGGUGAAACGGACAUAAACUCUCUUUGAUCUGCAGAACAGAGAGAAGACAUGCUUCCAUUUCUUUGUACCUCCUGUUUUCUCUUCUUGCCCUUUUCUUAUCCACCUCCUGCAUAUCCUGUAGAUUACUGGGUUGUUACAGGAACUUAAGAUGUGGGAAGAUAGUCUUUCUGAGCAGAAAGUAAAAUUUCAGAAUAACGUGGGGAGAAGAUGAUUAAAAAAAUGCUUGAAUGAUAAAAAAAAAAAAAUGCUUAGAGAGCUUAGGGUGUACAGAUCAUUGACUUUUAAAUAUAUUGAUGCUUGCAAACUUUCUGUGCUAUUACUGCCUUACUUCCCCACUGUAUGGGGACAGGAGUACUUGUCCUAAUCUUUGUUAAUUGACACCAUAGCCCACAAGAGCUUAACUGCUACACACAAGUCUCCUUUCUGCAUGUCCUUGAUUUCUGAUCAUACUUUUUGCUCUGUACACCUGAUUUUUUAAUGUGACUCUGAUCUAUCCUCUGUAAAAACACUCCUUUGCUUAAUACCUCAUACCUUUCCAAAAUACAAAACAACAGAUCAUUUCUUAUAAGCACAGCUCAUAAAUUCAAAAUUCCAGGUGAAAGUGUGGAAGUACAUAGGAAUUACCAUUAUUAGAGCAGACUCAAAUUAUCUGGUCUUCUGUCUGUACAUAGUAUCAGAUACUCUAAAAGACAGUAUAGAUUCCACACAUUUGCUUUCAUAGUGGAUCUUACUCUAAUUUCAAACAUUAUGCACUAAGUUCUAAAGUACAGUAUUUGACAUCUAUUUUUUGUUGCCCUUAAGUAUUAUAAUCACUCAUACUCUGUUGGUCCCAAAACCCCUCCUAAUAUUUCAGAUGAGAGCAAACCUCUGAUUGGUUUUAAGAAUUACAUUUAUUUUACUUACUGUUUUCAUUUGCUUCUCCUGUUUGCUGGUUUCUGGUUUUGACUGGUUUACAGAGAGAUGUCUUCACUGAGCUGUCCAUAUUGAUCCUUAAAAUGCUGAAUUCCUUUUGUGAGUCAAUACUGUUGGACAAUCUGUGUGAGAUAAAUACAGAAUUCGAUUUUUCUUCCAAAAUGCAGUACUCUACAUUUCUUAACAGUUGGUUGACAUUUUAAGCUUCACUUGCCUACCUUGUUUGGACUGAGUGGGUAGAAAAAUGGUAACUGAAGCUCCGUGUUCCUGUUUAGCUUGUUCAUUUUUUUUCCUGAAGCGAAUCACAGCUCAGUUUGAUCUUGGCACCUUUUGGUGAUCUGAAAGCCAAGGUAUUUCACUGCUCAACAUUUAUUUCUAGCUUAUCUCAAAUAUUGAUUUAUGUUUUAUAGAUACAUAAAAUAGAAGACAAGAAUUCAUUAAUGUGAACUUCCUAUCAUAAUUAGAACAAUACUUGGUUAAAAAAACUGUUUCCUUUUUCAUCAAAAAGUGAGAAAAUUGAAGGGAGUCUUUGAGGAACAUUUUACUAAAAAGGCAUUUGUGAACAGUAUAAUGGAUCUUUGCAAAGUUAAGGUGUCAAGUUUGAUAUCUGAAUUCAGUAACUUUGACAAAGGCAUUUAAAAUAGGUUUACAACUAAUUUCUGUUUCCUAGAUAGAACCCUAAUUCUUUUAUUGAGAUUGCCUCACAAUUCACUUAUAAGUAGUACUUUUCAGCAGUUUAUAUCUUCACUAUUUAUAUCUUUGUUGAUUUAUAAUGGUGCAAACUGAAAGCUGGCAGUUUUCUGCCUCAACUUGCAUAUUAAUUUUUUUAAUAAAAGAUGUCAUGC